ACACGACUACAUUAGACUACCCGCGUAGUCCCAGCCCUAAACGAUGCGCGUUAGGUGUAUCGGUGACCACGAGUCACCGAGGUGCCGAAAGGGAACCGUGAAACGUGCCGCCUGGGAAGUACGGUCGCAAGGCUGAAACUUAAAGGAAUUGGCGGGGAGCACCACAACGGGUGGAGCCUGCGGUUUAAUUGGACUCAACGCCGGGAAGCUCACCGGAUAAGACAGCGGAAUGAUUGCCGGGCUGAAGACCCUGCAUGACCAGCUG
This 265-nucleotide ribosomal RNA is filed under the name uncultured archaeon. Its description in RNAcentral is "partial 16S ribosomal RNA". It matches the Rfam family "Archaeal small subunit ribosomal RNA", at positions 717 to 982 of the family's 1478-position model. The record is from RNAcentral.